RNAcentral lists this ribosomal RNA (470 nucleotides) under uncultured bacterium. RNAcentral's name for it is "partial 16S ribosomal RNA". It matches the Rfam family "Bacterial small subunit ribosomal RNA", at positions 330 to 792 of the family's 1533-position model. The record is from RNAcentral.
GCCAGACUCCUACGGGAGGCAGCAGUAGGGAAUCUUCGGCAAUGGGCGAAAGCCUGACCGAGCAACGCCGCGUGAAUGAAGAAGGCCUUCGGGUUGUAAAAUUCUGUUAUAAGGGAAGAAAGGUGAUAGGAGGAAAUGACUAUCAAUUGACGGUACCUUAUGAGAAAGCCACGGCUAACUACGUGCCAGCAGCCGCGGUAAUACGUAGGGAGCGAGCGUUGUCCGGAAUUACUGGGUGUAAAGGGAGCGUAGGCGGGAUUGCAAGUUGGAUGUGAAAACUGCGGGCUCAACCCGGAGCGUGCAUUAAAAACUGCGAUUCUUGAGUGAAGUAGAGGCAAGCGGAAUUCCUAGUGUAGCGGUGAAAUGCGUAGAUAUUAGGAGGAACACCAGUGGCGAAGGCGGCUUGCUGGGCUUUUACUGACGCUGAGGCUCGAAAGUGUGGGGAGCAAACAGGAUUAGAUACCCGCGUA